CAGCAGUAGCCGCGGUAAUACCGAGGGUGCGAGCGUUAAUCGGAUUUACUGGGCGUAAAGCGUGCGUAGGCGGCUUUUUAAGUCGGAUGUGAAAUCCCUGAGCUUAACUUAGGAAUUGCAUUCGAUACUGGGAAGCUAGAGUAUGGGAGAGGAUGGUAGAAUUCCAGGUGUAGCGGUGAAAUGCGUAGAGAUCUGGAGGAAUACCGAUGGCGAAGGCAGCCAUCUGGCCUAAUACUGACGCUGAGGUACGAAAGCAUGGGGAGCAAACAGGAUUAGAUACCCCGGUAGUCCUGUCUCUUAUACA
Molecule: ribosomal RNA, 304 nt
Filed under: uncultured bacterium
Lineage: Bacteria
Description: partial 16S ribosomal RNA
Rfam family: Bacterial small subunit ribosomal RNA
Source: RNAcentral